CUAUUGCGAUCCACUGCUUGAAAUAGGCCUCCACAAGUUCGCGCCAAAAUUGGCACCAACUCAUGUGUUUUGCCCAUAGUCACCAAGCUG
Melitaea cinxia (Glanville fritillary) is the source of this 90-nucleotide long non-coding RNA. RefSeq lists it as uncharacterized. The record is from RefSeq and is a predicted model, not a curated record. Lineage: Eukaryota; Metazoa; Arthropoda; Insecta; Lepidoptera; Nymphalidae. The transcript has 3 exons.